Molecule: non-coding RNA, 345 nt
Organism: Phyllostomus hastatus (greater spear-nosed bat)
Lineage: Eukaryota; Metazoa; Chordata; Mammalia; Chiroptera; Phyllostomidae
Source: the annotation of a RefSeq genome assembly
AUGGCCACCAGGCUCCUCUGCUGGGUGGCCCUCUGUCUCCUGAGCAGAGGGCCCACACAUGCUGAAGUCACCCAGACACCCAGACACAAGGUGACAGACCGAGGACAAGAAGUGGCUCUGACUUGUGAGCCAAUUGCAGGCCAUGACUACCUUUACUGGUACAGACAGACCUCAGUGGAAGGCAUAAAGUUUCUGAUUUCCUUCAGGUUUGCCAAACUUCUGGACAAGUCAGGAAUGCCCAAUGAGCGAUUCUCAGCUGAGAUGCUUAAUAAGUCAUUCUCCACUCUGAAGAUCCAGCCCACAGAACCCGGGGACUCGGCCGUGUACCUCUGUGCCAGCAGUUAG